GACGAACGCUGGCGGCGUGCUUAACACAUGCAAGUCGAGCGGUAAGGCUCCUUCGGGAGUACACGAGCGGCGAACGGGUGAGUAACACGUGAGCAAUCUGCCCAUCACAUCGGGAUAACCUCGGGAAACCGAAGCUAAUACCGAAUACAACCACUUCAGGCAUCUGACGGUGGUGGAAAGUUCCGGCGGUGAUGGAUGAGCUCGCGGCCUAUCAGCUUGUUGGUGGGGUAAUGGCCCACCAAGGCUUCGACGGGUAGCCGGCCUGAGAGGGUGACCGGCCACACUGGGACUGAGACACGGCCCAGACUCCUACGGGAGGCAGCAGUGGGGAAUAUUGGACAAUGGGCGAAAGCCUGAUCCAGCAACGCCGCGUGAGGGAUGACGGCCUUCGGGUUGUAAACCUCUUUCAGCGCCGACGAAGCGAAAGUGACGGUAGGCGCAGAAGAAGCACCGGCCAACUACGUGCCAGCCGCCGCUGUAA
Molecule: ribosomal RNA, 481 nt
Filed under: uncultured bacterium
Lineage: Bacteria
Description: partial 16S ribosomal RNA
Rfam family: Bacterial small subunit ribosomal RNA
Source: RNAcentral